Molecule: long non-coding RNA, 3115 nt
Filed under: Gallus gallus (chicken)
Lineage: Eukaryota; Metazoa; Chordata; Aves; Galliformes; Phasianidae
Description: lncRNA (ENSGALG00010019661.1)
Source: RNAcentral
GCCCAGGACCCCGGCCCUGAGAGCGGCCCGCCGCCCGGGGCGAGGGGUCGGUGCGCCUCGGCGGGCGGCCUUCGCAGGAAUGCCAAAAAUGCGCUAAUUGUGCCCUGCCGCGCCUCCGGGAUUAGGGGUAGCCGUCUUUUAGGAAACGGGAGCGUGGCUCGACCGAUAGCGAAGGGCUGCGCCCCGCGUCCCCCCGGCCCUUGGGUUCGGUGCGGCGAUCCGGCGGUUCCUGGCAUCGCCCUGCGCGCCGGGAUCUGAAGUUGGAACAAAAAGGUCCCCAUGGAAACAGGGAGUCAUCUAUCAGUACCGCGUUCGCCCGGUCCUGCCAUGUUUGUGGGGAGAGUUGGGCCGCGCCGCCCGGCCUCUCCCCAUGCGCGUGUGUGUGAGGCCUAAAACAAAGCGGCCGUGUCAAAGUGCCCCUGGUGAGAUGGAAGGGCUCCCGGCGGGCGGGAGGGCUCCCGCAUCCCGACGUUAUUUCUUCCAGGAGCAGUGGAAGCGUUUGGAUCCCUCCUUGCAAACUUUUGUGUCGCGGUAUCUCCGCUGUCAGCCUCCCGGGUUGGAGCUGCGGGGAUAUCCAGCAUUUGGAUUUUCCCCUCUUUGCCGAAGUACCUUUGUGAAGUCCUGAGCUGAGAGCGGCGGAACGGAGCAAAGCGCUCAAAAUCAGCGUUGAUAGCUUAGCGUGGGGUGUGUGGAUGCAUUGUCAGUGCCUGCGCAGAAACAGAACGGUGCUUUAAUGCAGGAAUGGAAACUAAAACGUCCCAGAAGCUCACGUGUGCACAACAACGUGGGAAGGGCUCCCCGCUAAAGGAUGUGUCACGUCUAACUGUAAAAAAAAACCUGACAGAACGAAGCACUAAGCGUGUCGUAGCACUAAGUAACCUCCUUGCAUUGGGAAGGGAUCAUUCCCUUUGGUAGUUUUCAAUAUGUAAUGUUCUCGGUCUUUUAAAGGGCUUUGUCUGGCUGCAGCAUCCGUCUGCUGUGUGAGCUGAGCAGAAAGCGACCACUUUGCUGAUGGUCUUUUUGAAUGCACGUGGUUUAUAGCUCCUAAGGUGGUGCUUGUAAAGCACCCUGCUUGCUGGGGUGGGGGUUGCUCCAGGUUAGGGGACUCACUGAGGUGCAUUUCCCAUAUAGGGGCUGUGAGGUUUUCCAAGCGCCCUCCGAAUGUACUGUGAAGUGACACGGCUCACUCUUCCCUUCUGCAGACAUUUGGAUUCUUCUCCUAUAACUGAAUCACGUGCAUGCAUACACGCCAAGAAGGUGUUUGCUUCCUUCGCUGCACUUCUCGGCACUGCAGAUAAAUCUGUUGCAUCUCAUUUGGUUUCUGAUUCAUUCAUCCCCCAGCAGCCGUGGCCGGGGAUCUCCUCUACUUCUGUUUCCUUCCAGAGUCAGAACCUUUGUUCUGAUGUCCAACCUUUUUCAUGCAGAGUAAAGCUCGGUGAGUUGUGCGGAGCUCUCUGGAGGCAGCAAGGGGAAGAAAUGACAACCAGAAGCAAACUGGAGAUGGAUGCAAGGGAUGCAUCAUUGUGGAACAGAAAAUUGGUUCUCCAAACAAACUGCUCCAAGUGAGUGGAUGGAUGGGGAGAUGUCUGACAUUAACAACAUGUAACUGCUUUCUGAAAACCCUGGGAUACCUGAAAGCCUUAAGAAGGAGUGCUGCUGCAGUUGCAAAGUGAUAGAAUGAAGUCAAUACCCAAAAUGAUGCUGCAGCCACAUCUGGAGUUUGCUUCAGGUGGAGUGCUUUAACUCUCUGAAAGGGAACGUCGCACAUCUCGGGGUCGUCUUAAAGAGAAACAGAAGAUGCAGAGGAGUACAUCCGAGAAAAGCACUUUAUUCCCUCAGCACAGAUUGACUCCCCAGGUCCCACCUGGAGCAGAACUUUCCGUGCAGUUCCCCCAGCACAGCUCUGGUACAUCCAUGCAGGAUUGGACUUACUGAGGGGUUUGCCUUCAUUUCUCCUUCUGCCCACUUUGGGGUGCCCGCAUUACCUGCAGCCACACGUCCUGCAUUGCUGCCUUGCCUCUGUUGUACCGCAUUCUGCUGAAAAAUACAUAGAAUGAAAAUGAUUUCCCACUUGUAAGGGCAGAAUAAAUAGAAAUACUUGCAGAUAAUGAUGCAGUUUUUUCCUCAGUGUCACCGAAAAACUUAACUCGGUUUUGUUUUCUCAAUCAUCCCUCUGUGUUUGCACUUCUCUGUUAAACAGCAACUGAGAACAAACCGAGAAUAAAAGUGGAGAGCGUUUUUAUUACAAAGGAUUUCACCUUUCUGUCAUUUUUGUACUAAAACAGAUCUGAAACUGCCAUCCACCUCUUCAGUUCAAUUUUUGUUUCACUGCAUUGGAGAAACUUUUAUAUAGAAAAACGAGAUGGAUAACCUUUGUUUCUCUGCAUUUUCUGUGUGUCCUCUCCUAAAUGAGACCAAUCUACACAUGGAAUGGGGAAUUACUUGUGGUCAGAAAUAAACAGCAAUGGCAUGAAGUUUGAGGCUAUUUUCCCUUCUUUUACAGCAUUGAUUGCUGUAACGCAUAACGUAACGUUUGCUGUAUACCUGAUAUGCUGUGAGGGGUCACCACAAACUGAUGUCUUUUUAAGAGCUCUUUGACAAUUUAUUAUGGACACGUUUAUUAUAACAAAAUGCAAAGGUAAAGAGCAAAAGCUGCUCUGUCUCCUGUUUACUUCUGUAGUUCAGUGGAUGUGUAAAAGCGCUGAAUUCUGCACUCAGCCUUCAGCAGGCUGCAAUUCAACUUCUGUGCAGCAACUCCAUGCAAUUGCUAUACGCUUCGAUUCUGAGACUUCCUUCCACUUUCAGUGACAUUGGGGCACUGAAAAAGUUAAAGGAACUCAUCCUUUCACAGCUCUGAGUUCUUGGUGUAUUUCUGCCGGGUGGGUAAAGUCCUGAAAUCCGGAGAUAAGUGCUCCAACUGACCCUGAAAUCUGGAUAGAAGUCGUCUCCCUGACAAUGCAGCUACUUGCAUGAGCAAACGACCCAAGUUGUGUGCGCAGGGUAGGGCCCCAUGCAAUAUAGAAAUGCUAUGUUGAAAAUGCUUCCCACAUUAGCUACCUCAGUAAUAGCUUUUGAAUCUUUUUUCACGCCAAUACCUAUUGUGUCAAGAUGGAGG